This 377-nucleotide long non-coding RNA is filed under the name Cricetulus griseus (Chinese hamster). RNAcentral describes it as "lncRNA (ENSCGRG00000025790.1)". The record is from RNAcentral. Lineage: Eukaryota; Metazoa; Chordata; Mammalia; Rodentia; Cricetidae.
UGGAGGUGCCCCGUGUCACUGGGUGCGCUGACCUCUCUGGAUCUGGAGCCAGCUUUCUCUGUCAGGCAGUUUUUGGAGAACCUCUGUGGAUUCAGGUGGAUCUGGAUGGAGAGAAACCCAAGAGCUGCUGGGCCCUGGGAGGCACCACCUGAACAUCCGAGUUGUGGGAAACAGCACUGCCUCCGCUCCACCAGUAAACAUCACUGUCCACUUUGUGGAGCUGCUGUCGGGACUGCAGGCUUCCUGGGCUUCGGACCAUGUGGAGCUUGGGUGUGACCUGUUGAUCAAUGUCUCAGUGGCUUGUGGUACCCUCGAGGAGCUGACCUUUGAGAUGGUGGGCCUCAAUGCAAACUUCUCCCAGAAGGAGGAAAGUGGUG